AGUGGAGCGCGGACACUGAGACAGUGAGAGAGUGGAGCGGGCUCACGGCGGGAUGAGGAGAAGGAGUGUGAUGAUGAUGCUGAAGUCAUGUAAUCCCGCGGACAGAGAUUCGCUGUAGCUUCGACUUUUACAGUGGAGAUACGACCCAUUCGGCGUGUGAACAUGGACCAAAAAUGACCAAUGCAUCUUCUUGGUGCUUCUGUCGUGGGAUUUAUAUUACUACCUCUUGCCUUCUCCUGUGAAAUCUCAAAAAAUAAAGUCAAGAUUUCUCAGGAAUACGAGCACAUCAUUUUGAAGCAACUGCAGCGCAUUAACCUCACUGUUGAGGAGGAGCUAAUACAGCGAAAUAAGCACUGCAAAAGAAACACUACGUUUCAUAACAUAGAAAAUCCAGAAUAUUUUAUCCACAAUGCCUCCUGCAAUCGAAUGCCAACGGGGUUAGAGACAAACCUGGAAGAAGAUCUAAAGUUUCUUGUGGAAAGCAUUAUUGGAUCCCUAGGAUGUCAAUGUCCCACCCGGCAGGGGAAGCAACGUGCCAAUGGAAAACAACCGGGACUCAGAAGAAAGCUUUGCAAACUAAAACACACCCUUGCAGGAAUACAGAAAGCCUACGAACAAUACAAUUCUACUUAAGUAUGGGCCCCACAAGAGACAUUCAAGCUAUAAAGGAGAGAAGAGACACAGUGAAGCAUUGCUGUGCUCCAAAUCGAAACACUGCAUUCCUGCAUUACCUGUUUGAGUGGACAUA
This 748-nucleotide long non-coding RNA is filed under the name Astyanax mexicanus (Mexican tetra). RNAcentral's name for it is "lncRNA (ENSAMXG00005015977.1)". Lineage: Eukaryota; Metazoa; Chordata; Actinopteri; Characiformes; Acestrorhamphidae. The record is from RNAcentral.